RNAcentral lists this transfer RNA (69 nucleotides) under Mytilisepta virgata. RNAcentral describes it as "tRNA-Val". The record is from RNAcentral. Lineage: Eukaryota; Metazoa; Mollusca; Bivalvia; Mytilida; Mytilidae.
AAAACAUCAGUUUUCUACUCUUAUAUGAUAGUAUAAUAAUUACAACUUGUUUACACCAAGUAAAUCGUA